UCUCCGUUGGUGAACCAGCGGAGGGAUCAUCACCGAAGUUACCUUCAAAACCCACUGUGAACCUUACCUCUUGCCGCGUUGUCUCGGCGGGAGGCGGUGUGCGUCGCGCGCCCUAGCGGGCCGCGCCGCUCCCGUCCCCGCCGGCAGCGCCAAACUCUAAAUGCACAGCGGACUGUACGUUCUGAUUUACAAAAAAAAACAAGUUAAAACUUUCAACAACGGAUCUCUUGGUUCUG
RNAcentral lists this unclassified non-coding RNA (236 nucleotides) under plant metagenome. Its description in RNAcentral is "partial contains small subunit ribosomal RNA, internal transcribed spacer 1, and 5.8S ribosomal RNA". The record is from RNAcentral.